CCAUUGGUGGUUCAGUGGUAUAAUUUUCACCUUCCACAUGGGAGAUCCAGGCUCACUUCCUGGCCAAUGUA
This 71-nucleotide transfer RNA is filed under the name Loxodonta africana (African savanna elephant). It matches the Rfam family "tRNA". From Rfam's summary of the family: Transfer RNA (tRNA) molecules are approximately 80 nucleotides in length. Lineage: Eukaryota; Metazoa; Chordata; Mammalia; Proboscidea; Elephantidae. The record is from Rfam by way of RNAcentral.